GAUGAACGCUGGCGGCGUGCCUAAUACAUGCAAGUCGAACGCUGGAAAUCUAGCUUGCUAGAUUGAAGGAGUGGCGAACGGGUGAGUAAUACAUAAGCAACCUACCCACGAAGACUGGGAUAAUCUCUGGAAACGGGGACUAAUACCGGAUAGGUAAUCGGAAGGCAUCUUCUGAUUAUUAAAGGUUAAAAACACUGGUGGAUGGGCUUAUGGCGCAUUAGUUAGUUGGUGAGGUAACGGCCCACCAAGACGAUGAUGCGUAGCCGGCCUGAGAGGGUGAACGGCCACAUGGGGACUGAGGCACGGCCCAGACGACUACGGGAGGCAGCAGUAGGGAAUGUUCAGCAAUGGGGGAAAACCUGAGCGAGCAACGCAGCGUGAGUGAUGACGGCCUUCGGGGUGUAAAGCUCUGUUGUAAGGGAAGAACGGUAGAUAGAGAAGAUCUAAAUGACGGUACCUUACCAGAAAGCCACGGCUAACUACGUG
Molecule: ribosomal RNA, 486 nt
Filed under: uncultured bacterium
Lineage: Bacteria
Description: partial 16S ribosomal RNA
Rfam family: Bacterial small subunit ribosomal RNA
Source: RNAcentral